This is an unclassified non-coding RNA of Macaca nemestrina (pig-tailed macaque), 294 nucleotides long. It matches the Rfam family "Metazoan signal recognition particle RNA". Rfam says of the family: The signal recognition particle (SRP) is a universally conserved ribonucleoprotein. It is involved in the co-translational targeting of proteins to membranes. The record is from Ensembl. NCBI's taxonomy places the organism in Eukaryota, Metazoa, Chordata, Mammalia, Primates, Cercopithecidae.
GGCAGGAGGAGACUUCAAAAUCACCCUGGCCACGUGGGGCUUUUUAAACAGAGCAAUUACUUGAGCUUGAGAGUUCUGGGCUGCAGUGUGCUAUGCCAGUUGGGUGUCUGCAUCAAUAUGGGGACCCCCCCACCGCCACCAAAAGCAGGGGACCAUCAGGUUGCCUAAGGAGGAGUGAACUGGCGCAGGUCAGAAAUGGAGCAGGUCAAAACUCCUGCACAGAUCAGUAGUGGGAUUGCACCGGUGACUAGCCACUGCAUCCCAGCCUGGGCAACAUAGUGAGACCCUGUCUCA